Gasterosteus aculeatus aculeatus (three-spined stickleback) is the source of this 824-nucleotide long non-coding RNA. The record is from Ensembl. Lineage: Eukaryota; Metazoa; Chordata; Actinopteri; Perciformes; Gasterosteidae.
GGACACUUUGGUGAGGCCCAUCUGUGUGUGUGUCUUCCACAAAGCGUAAGGCAUCAUUGCCCGUCUGUAAUUCCUGUUAAAGAUGAUUGAUACGUUGUCAGAGCUCAGCUCAGAUACCUCCCACCUGUGGGAACUUGUGUUCAGUCGAGGAAUGCUGUGAACUGUCAGCUCCUUUCUUCUUUUCUGGGAAUACUUUAAGGCUGGUGAUAAAAAAAAGGAUGAUAUACCUCUCAAACAUGGAGGUUCACCGCUCUGAAGCCUUUAAAUACAAUCUCGAGAACAAGCACCCUCAACUAAACAAGUCUCUACUUGGAAAAGAUCCAAGUCUUCCCCACAGAACAAGGCUCGUCUAAACAAAGUCAGCUGGUCUUGAUGGGGUCGUCGGGCAGUUCCUGCCACCUGCUGCUUAUCUUCAGGAUUGCCUCCACCCACCUCCAGUAUUUAAGCCGGCCUGAUCUACCAGUCUUCGCCAGUUCGUCAGAUACUCCUGCGUUUUUUCCCUGUGUCCUGGUCCUCGGCUUUGAUUGCCUCGUCUCCCUGCCUCGCCAGUUCCUGUCCGGAGCUCCUGCAUCCAGCCUCCCAAUUUCUAUCUUCAUCAACCUGUUUAAAUAAACUUCUGUACCGAAGAGGUCGGCUUGUGAGUCCAGUUAUUCGAAAGAAACCUAACAAUCGGAGGCCAUUGACAUGAGUGCACUGGGAUGUGUCUUGGCAUUCCAGUUUUUUGGCCGGGACAUCUUCAAUGGAAAAUCAACAUACGAUGUAAUGAAAACGGUUUGCUGUCUACUUGGUCAGCCACAAGACCACCUGCUGAAAAAACAGACCUG